RNAcentral lists this ribosomal RNA (433 nucleotides) under uncultured bacterium. RNAcentral's name for it is "partial 16S ribosomal RNA". It matches the Rfam family "Bacterial small subunit ribosomal RNA", at positions 29 to 507 of the family's 1533-position model. The record is from RNAcentral.
AACGAACGCUGGCGGCAUGCCUAACACAUGCAAGUCGAACGAAACCUUCGGGUCUAGUGGCGCAGGUCUGCGUAACGCGUGGGAACCUGCCCUUAGGUUCGGAAUCACUCCCCGAAAGGGGUGCUAAUACCGCAUGAGGUCUUCCGGCCAAAGAUUUAUCGCCGUUGGAUGGGGCCGCGUUGGAUUAGGUAGUUGGUAGGGUAAUAGCAUACCAAGGCGACGAUCCAUAGCUGGUCUGAGAGGAUGCUCAGCCAGACUGGGACUGAGACACGGCCCACACUCGUACGGGAGGCAGCAGUGGGGAAUAUAGGACAAUGGGCGCAAGCGUGAUCCAGCAAUGCCGCGUGAGAGAUGAAGGGCUUAGGGUUGUAAAGCUCUUUUAGCCGGGAUGAUAAUGACAGUAACGGGAGAAUAAGCUCCGGCUAACUCCGUG